AGAUUGAACGCUGGCGGCGUGCUUAACACAUGCAAGUCGAUCGGUAACGCGGGGGCAACCCUGGCGACGAGAGGCGGACGGGUGAGUAACGCUUGGGAAUCUGCCCAUCAGCGGGGGACAACCCGGGGAAACCCGGCUAAUACCGCAUACGCUCCACGGAGGAAAGCAGGGGACCGCAAGGCCUUGCACUGAUGGAUGAGCCCAAGCCGGAUUAGCUAGUUGGCGGGUAACGCCCACCAAGGCGACGAUCCGUAGCUGGUCUGAGAGGACGAUCAGCCACACCGGAACUGAGACACGGUCCGGACUCCUACGGGAGGCAGCAGGUGGGAAUAUGGACAAGUGGGGAAACCCUGACUCCGAGCGACGCCG
This 369-nucleotide ribosomal RNA is filed under the name uncultured soil bacterium. Its description in RNAcentral is "bacterial SSU rRNA". It matches the Rfam family "Bacterial small subunit ribosomal RNA", at positions 26 to 399 of the family's 1533-position model. The record is from RNAcentral.